UACCUAGGAAUCUGCCCGAUAGUGGGGGAUAACGUUCGGAAACGAAUGCUAAUACCGCGUACGUCCUACGGGAGAAAGCAGGGGACCUUCGGGCCUUGCGCUAUCGGAUGAGCCUAGGUCGGAUUAGCUAGUUGGUGAGGUAAUAGCUCACCAAGGCCACGAUCCGUAGCUGGUCUGAGAGGAUGAUCAGUCACACUGGAACUGAGACACGGUCCAGACUCCUACGGGAGGCAGCAGUAGGGAAUAUUGCGCAAUGGGGGAAACCCUGACGCAGCCACGCCGCGUGAGUGAGGAAGGCCU
This 300-nucleotide ribosomal RNA is filed under the name uncultured Pseudomonas sp. RNAcentral's name for it is "bacterial SSU rRNA". It matches the Rfam family "Bacterial small subunit ribosomal RNA", at positions 114 to 417 of the family's 1533-position model. Lineage: Bacteria; Pseudomonadati; Pseudomonadota; Gammaproteobacteria; Pseudomonadales; Pseudomonadaceae. The record is from RNAcentral.